This 463-nucleotide ribosomal RNA is filed under the name Bradyrhizobiaceae bacterium D190. RNAcentral's name for it is "bacterial SSU rRNA". It matches the Rfam family "Bacterial small subunit ribosomal RNA", at positions 32 to 539 of the family's 1533-position model. The record is from RNAcentral. Lineage: Bacteria; Pseudomonadati; Pseudomonadota; Alphaproteobacteria; Hyphomicrobiales; Nitrobacteraceae.
AACGCUGGCGGCAGGCUUAACACAUGCAAGUCGAGCGGGCGUAGCAAUACGUCAGCGGCAGACGGGUGAGUAACGCGUGGGAACGUACCUUUUGGUUCGGAACAACACAGGGAAACUUGUGCUAAUACCGGAUAAGCCCUUACGGGGAAAGAUUUAUCGCCGAAAGAUCGGCCCGCGUCUGAUUAGCUAGUUGGUGAGGUAACGGCUCACCAAGGCGACGAUCAGUAGCUGGUCUGAGAGGAUGAUCAGCCACAUUGGGACUGAGACACGGCCCAAACUCCUACGGGAGGCAGCAGUGGGGAAUAUUGGACAAUGGGCGCAAGCCUGAUCCAGCCAUGCCGCGUGAGUGAUGAAGGCCCUAGGGUUGUAAAGCUCUUUUGUGCGGGAAGAUAAUGACGGUACCGCAAGAAUAAGCCCCGGCUAACUUCGUGCCNGCAGCCGCGGUAAUACGAAGGGGGCUAGC